Molecule: long non-coding RNA, 154 nt
Organism: Myotis davidii
Lineage: Eukaryota; Metazoa; Chordata; Mammalia; Chiroptera; Vespertilionidae
Exons: 3
Source: RefSeq, a predicted model, not a curated record
GUUGAUGGACUGGCUUUCUGUGCUAGGUGUCUUAUAGGGCCCAGUGGCUCAGCCUCCCCAAUUACCUGAAGUGAACUCUCUUGGUGCACCCCCCUUGUGGCCUGUAUGCACAGUCCUGUUGUAGUUAAGCCUUGAUUUUUUUUGCUUCCCUCUG